GAUGAAGAACGUAGCGAAAUGCGAUAAGUAAUGUGAAUUGCAGAAUUCAGUGAAUCAUCGAAUCUUUGAACGCACCUUGCACCCUUUGGCAUUCCGAAGGGUAUGCUCGUUUGAGUGUCAUUGUACUCUCACACUCUCCGAUCCUAUGGAUUCGGGGAGCGGUGGACUUGGGUGUUGCUGCCUUUCCUUGUGGCUCACCUCAAAUGUGUCAGUGCACCUCUUGGUUGGACAUAGUACGGCGUGAUAAGUGUCUUCGCCGGCACCUCGCAAGAGGGUGGCCGAUCGGGAGCUCUGUGCUUUCAAAACGUCUUCGGACAAUUUCUGAUAACUUGACCUCAAAUCGAGUAGGACUACCCGCUGAACUUAAGCAUAUCAAUAAGCGGAGGA
This 387-nucleotide unclassified non-coding RNA is filed under the name soil metagenome. RNAcentral describes it as "partial contains 5.8S ribosomal RNA, internal transcribed spacer 2, and large subunit ribosomal RNA". The stretch from base 1 to 120 matches the Rfam family "5.8S ribosomal RNA", at positions 35 to 154 of the family's 154-position model. The record is from RNAcentral.